CCAAUUUCGCGAGGGAAGCUGCCGAGCGAAACAAGGUGGCCGCAUAUGUUGCGAGCCAGAUAGGGCAGACCGCGCAGGUCCGUGCAGACCACGGCAUGUCGCAUCGCGUUGCUCGACGUGCAGCCGUCAGGCCGUCGGGCCCGCCGCCCGAAGGCGCCCGUGUGCGCAUGAAAAAAGGCCUUCAUCUGGCGAUGAAGGCCUUUUACU
This 207-nucleotide non-coding RNA is filed under the name Burkholderia pseudomallei. RNAcentral's name for it is "Burkholderia sRNA 11". It matches the Rfam family "Burkholderia sRNA 11". From Rfam's summary of the family: Identified by RNA-seq, RACE and Northern blot. Lineage: Bacteria; Pseudomonadati; Pseudomonadota; Betaproteobacteria; Burkholderiales; Burkholderiaceae. RNAcentral also lists the same sequence under 1 other name. The record is from RNAcentral.